Molecule: ribosomal RNA, 459 nt
Filed under: uncultured bacterium
Lineage: Bacteria
Description: partial 16S ribosomal RNA
Rfam family: Bacterial small subunit ribosomal RNA
Source: RNAcentral
CCUACGGGAGGCUGCAGUGAGGAAUAUUGGUCAAUGGUCGGGAGACUGAACCAGCCAAGCCGCGUGAGGGAGGAAGGUACAGAGUAUCGUAAACCUCUUUUGUCAGGGAACAAAGACUGGGACGCGUCCCCGGAUGAGUAUACCUGACGAAAAAGCAUCGGCUAACUCCGUUCCAUCAGUCGCGGUAAUAGGGAGGAUGCGAGCGUUAUCCGGCUUUAUUGGGUUUAAAGGGUGCGCAGGCAAUCUGUUAAGUUAGCGGGAAAAGCCCGGGGCUCAACCCCGGCCCGCCGUUGAAACUGGCAGUCUCGAGUGGGAGAGAAGUAUGCGGAAUGCGCGGUGUAGCGGUGAAAUGCAUAGAUAUCGCGCAGAACUCCGAUUGCGAAGGCAGCAUGCCGGCUCCACACUGACGCUGAGGCACGAAAGCGUGGGUAUCGAACAGGAUUAGAUACCCCGGUAGUC